GACGAACGCUGGCGGCGUGCUUAACACAUGCAAGUCGAAGGGAGUGGCGAACGGGUGAGUAACACGUGAGUAACCUGCCCUUUUCUUUGGGAUAAGCCUGGGAAACUGGGUCUAAUACUGGAUGGAUUGGGAUGGGCUCGCGGCUUAUCAGCUUGUUGGUGGGGUGAUGGCUUACCAAGGCUUUGACGGGUAGCCGGCCUGAGAGGGUGGUCGGUCACACUGGGACUGAGAUACGGCCCAGACUCCUACGGGAGGCAGCAGUGGGGAAUAUUGCACAAUGGGCGGAAGCCUGAUGCAGCGACGCCGCGUGGGGGAUGACGGCCUUCGGGUUGUAAACUCCUUUCACCAUCGACGCGGUAGAUGGAGAAGAAGCACCGGCUAACUACGUGCCAGCAGCCGCGGUAAUUC
RNAcentral lists this ribosomal RNA (408 nucleotides) under uncultured bacterium. Its description in RNAcentral is "partial 16S ribosomal RNA". It matches the Rfam family "Bacterial small subunit ribosomal RNA", at positions 28 to 526 of the family's 1533-position model. The record is from RNAcentral.